UAGAUAUGCGAAUAUAUAUCAUGAUCAAGUGGUAGACUGUAUGAAAAGAAUCAAGGAACUUCCAUUAAUGUCUACUGAAGUUGUUGAAGAAAGUGAAGAUGAUGAACCUACACGCCAUUUGCCGACCAAAAGUGUAGAUACCAAACAUGCACACUCUGAGUCGACAGAAAGUUUACAUACUGAAAUUGCACCCUCUAAUCUGACCGAAAGUGUACAUACUGAAAGCAUAUGCCCUGAGCCAAUUGAAAUUGAAAACACUGGAAGCGGACGCUCUGGGACAAUUGAAAAACAAGUUACUUUUGUUGAUAGUUUGGGUUCACAAAUUGUAAGAGGGAUUAAAGUAAAACCCAAAGUUCGAGGCAACCACCGUGCGUUUAAAAAUCCGCUAGAUCAAGUAAGGAAGAAAAGAUCCUUACCUAAAACUGUUCAACCACAAGCAAGUCAAAUGUCGAUGGUGAUGGGAAACAACUAUGCACCAAACGUCAUGCAGCAUGCAUCAUUUCAACCUUCACAUUAUAUGGUGAUGGGAUACCUUCCUGACCCUAGUGGAUCUAUCAAUGCAUCAGUGGCUCAGUAUAGGUACCAACUACCUAAUACUAGCAUGUUCCAACAAAACCUUUUCAACGUCGGAUGUCAGGUAAAAGUGAAAGUUAAUUUUGUAAACUUGUAAUAUUUCCUAGCUAUUGUCAUCUUAAAAAGAAAAAAGAGAAUUUUUUUUUUAAAAAAAAAAAAAAGAAGGAAGAACUUGUAAUAUUACAUAUAACAUUUACAUAAUUUCUGCUUAUUGGAGUUUUCGUUAUUGUCUCGUUGCUCUUUUAGAGUUCAAAUAUUACAGGAACGAGUUGUUCCGAGUCCCAACCAAGUAUUAACUUCUACCAUCAAAUUCCAUCAAGCACUCUGCCUGAUUCAUCUAUGGGAAGUGUCUUGCCUAGCCAGCCAUCAUUACCACCAUAUGAUAACAAUCAAUCAUUGGGGUGUGAAGAUUACCACCAACGUUCGAGCAAUUAAUAUUUCUUUUUCUCAAAGGAAGAGAUGUAACUAUUGUGAGGGGUGGGCUAACUCUUUUUGUCAGGCCUUCCCGAUUGGCAAUAAGAUUUUGAAGUGCGGUUAAAUUCCCUUUUUGUCAGGCCCAAAGCUAUACAAGAAAGGGAGUAGAACAACCAUCUAGCAAUUUUUUGUACCCAUUGUUUUAAAGGUCACAGUUUCCAAGCUCAUCCUUGUAAUCAAACAACAAGGGCUGCAAAGUGAAGAAAGAUUGGUUUUUUUUUUUUCUUUUUUUUCUUUUUUUGAAUUUUGGAAAGUCUUUGUGAAGAAAGAUUGAUUGAAAAGCAUGAUGGGGGGUUGCAAGGUUUCCAUCCUUGUUCAGUAGGCAUGGAUAAGGACAUCAAAAAACAUUUAAAAUGCAUUAUUUUAUGUUGUUAAUGCGAAUAUGCUAAAAUUGAAUUUGCUUCAGAUGACUCAACUUUCCAUCCAUACUUGCAUUUGUUCUUUGACACGUAAAUUAUUGAAAAAAUGUACAGUGAAACGAAAUCAUUGAAUGCAUUUUUGUUUCCAGUUUAUGUUGAGAUGAUUUUCACUGGGCAUGGAAUGAUAAAGUUUGA
Molecule: long non-coding RNA, 1601 nt
Organism: Magnolia sinica
Lineage: Eukaryota; Viridiplantae; Streptophyta; Magnoliopsida; Magnoliales; Magnoliaceae
Exons: 3
Source: RefSeq, a predicted model, not a curated record